GACGAACGCUGGCGGCGUGCUUAACACAUGCAAGUCGAACGGUGAAGCGCCUUCCUUUUUGGUGGGUGUGGAUGAGUGGCGAACGGGUGAGUAACACGUGAGUAACCUGCCCCCUUCUUCUGGAUAACCGCAUGAAAGUGUGGCUAAUACGGGAUAUUCUGGGUCUGUCGCAUGAUGGGUCUGGGAAAGAUGUUGUUUCGGGGGGGGAGGGUCUCGCGGCCUAUCAGCGUGUUGGUGGGGUGAUGGCCUACCAAGGGGGUGAGGGGUAGACGGCCUGAGAGGGUAGACGGCCACACUGGGUAUGAGACACGGCCCAGACUCCUACGGGAGGCAGCAGUGAGGAAUAUUGAACAAUGGGGGCAAGCCUGCUGCAGCGGCGCCGCGUGAGGGACGGAGGCGUUCGGGUUGUGAACCUCUUUCGCUAGUGAAGCAGGCCUGCCUCGUAUGUGGGUGGGUUGACGGUAGCUGGAUAAGAAGCGCCGGCUAACUACGUG
RNAcentral lists this ribosomal RNA (494 nucleotides) under uncultured bacterium. RNAcentral's name for it is "partial 16S ribosomal RNA". It matches the Rfam family "Bacterial small subunit ribosomal RNA", at positions 28 to 507 of the family's 1533-position model. The record is from RNAcentral.